Molecule: long non-coding RNA, 774 nt
Organism: Corvus hawaiiensis (hawaiian crow)
Lineage: Eukaryota; Metazoa; Chordata; Aves; Passeriformes; Corvidae
Exons: 3
Source: RefSeq, a predicted model, not a curated record
CCACAAUCGUGUUUUCAAUUCUACAGCGUCAGCUUCCCCUAUGAGGAAGAGAAAAGAAAUCCCCUCUCUUUUGAAAUGCAAGUCAUUUGUAACGUUACGUACAAAGGACUUUGGUGCCAUGAUCUUUAGCUUUUGCCCUGCAUUUAAUACUAAAGAUCACUCAACAACGAUGAAACCAGCUGGAUGAAAUUCCUCUCCUGCAAGACAUGAAGGCCAAUGACGACAGGGCCAAGUUUUAAGCGGGUGCCUGGACUUAACAGCUUCAAUAUUGGAUUUGCUCUUGUAAAGAACAGGCUGCUUUUAAGACUGACCUGGAAAAUAGAUAUUCAAGGAGCACAUAUGCUAAAGGAGCUGAGGCACUUCUUUUUGCUUUCAAGACCAGAAGGUUGCACAUAAAACACAUUCAAAUACUCAUGACUACAACUUCAAUGCUUUUUUAGACAGUGAUGAUUCUGAACUCAAGACCAGCCUGUUGUAAACAAAUAGAUCGAUGUGAAAGCCUAUUCAUUUGUUCAACUGAUGCACCUUUGAAAAAAAAAUAAAAUGUAGAAGAAUAAAAUUGAACUUUCUUUCAAGACCAAAUAGAGAAGAUACUGAGACAUCAACCUUCCCUCUAGAAACAUCUCUGUUUAAUUCCAAUUCAACAAAAUGUAACAUGGUAUAUCAUGGUCCUGCCUUCGGGAUAGGGAGGAGAAUCGGAAAAAGGUAAAACUCGUGGGUUGAGAUAAGAACAGGUUAAUAAGUGAAAGAAAAUAAAAUAUACUGAUAAUACUA